GACGAACGCUGGCGGCGUGCUUAACACAUGCAAGUCGAACGGAAAGGCCCUGCUUUUGUGGGGUGCUCGAGUGGCGAACGGGUGAGUAACACGUGAGUAACCUGCCCUUGACUUUGGGAUAACUUCAGGAAACUGGGGCUAAUACCGGAUAGGAGCUCCUGCUGCAUGGUGGGGGUUGGAAAGUUUCGGCGGCUGGGGAUGGACUCGCGGCUUAUCAGCUUGAUGGUGGGGUAGUGGCUUACCAAGGCUUUGGCGGGUAGCCGGCCUGAGAGGGUGACCGGCCACAUUGGGCCUGAGAUACGGCCCAGACGCCUACGUGAGGCAGCAGUGGGGAAUAUUGCGCAAUAGGCGGAAGCCUGAUGCAGCAACGCCGGGUGCGGGAUGACUGCCUUCGGGUUGUAAACCGCUUUCGCCUGUGACGAAGCGUGUGUGACGGUAAUGGGUAAGGAAGCACCGGCUAACUACGUG
This 468-nucleotide ribosomal RNA is filed under the name uncultured bacterium. Its description in RNAcentral is "partial 16S ribosomal RNA". It matches the Rfam family "Bacterial small subunit ribosomal RNA", at positions 28 to 507 of the family's 1533-position model. The record is from RNAcentral.